This 500-nucleotide ribosomal RNA is filed under the name uncultured bacterium. RNAcentral's name for it is "partial 16S ribosomal RNA". It matches the Rfam family "Bacterial small subunit ribosomal RNA", at positions 899 to 1397 of the family's 1533-position model. The record is from RNAcentral.
ACUCAAAUGAAUUGACGGGGGCCCGCACAAGCGGUGGAGCAUGUGGUUCAAUUCGACGCAACGCGAAGAACCUUACCUGGGCUCGAAGCGCAGUGGACCGGGGUGGAAACAUCCCUUUCUCGCAAGAGACUGCUGCGGAGGUGCUGCAUGGCUGUCGUCAGCUCGUGUCGUGAGAUGUUGGGUUAAGUCCCGCAACGAGCGCAACCCUCAUCCCUAGUUGCUAACACGUUAUGGUGAGCACUCUAGUGAAACUGCCUCCGAUAAGGGGGAGGAAGGUGGGGAUGACGUCAAGUCCUCAUGGCCUUUAUGUCCAGGGCUACACACGUGCUACAAUGCCCGGUACAAACCGUCGCAAACCCGCGAGGGGGAGCUAAUCGGAAAAAGCCGGGCUCAGUUCGGAUUGCAGUCUGCAACUCGACUGCAUGAAGCUGGAAUCGCUAGUAAUCGUGGAUCAGAACGCCACGGUGAAUACGUUCCCGGGCCUUGUACACACCGCCCGU